GAACUGCUGAGGAGUCCCACAUUAGAACGAAACAGCUGUCCAGUGU
This 46-nucleotide non-coding RNA is filed under the name Schistosoma mansoni. Lineage: Eukaryota; Metazoa; Platyhelminthes; Trematoda; Strigeidida; Schistosomatidae. The record is from RNAcentral.